This 482-nucleotide ribosomal RNA is filed under the name uncultured bacterium. RNAcentral's name for it is "partial 16S ribosomal RNA". It matches the Rfam family "Bacterial small subunit ribosomal RNA", at positions 30 to 507 of the family's 1533-position model. The record is from RNAcentral.
AUUGAACGCUGGCGGCAUGCUUUACACAUGCAAGUCGAGCGGUAACAGGCCGCAAGGUGCUGACGAGUGGCGAACGGGUGAGUAAUGCAUCGGAACGUGCCCAGCCGUGGGGGAUAACUACUCGAAAGAGUAGCUGAUACCGCAUACGAUCUAUGGAUGAAAGCGGGGGACCGUAAGGCCUCGCGCGAUUGGAGCGGCCGAUGUCAGAUUAGGUAGUUGGUGGGGUAAAGGCUCACCAAGCCAACGAUCUGUAGCUGGUCUGAGAGGACGACCAGCCACACUGGGACUGAGACACGGCCCAGACUCCUACGGGAGGCAGCAGUGGGGAAUUUUGGACAAUGGGCGCAAGCCUGAUCCAGCAAUGCCGCGUGCAGGAAGAAGGCCUUCGGGUUGUAAACUGCUUUUGUACGGAACGAAACGGCUCUGGUUAAUACCCGGGGCUAAUGACGGUACCGUAAGAAUAAGCACCGGCUAACUACGUG